UUCUGACUUUUUGGUGGAUGACAAAUCCUACCAGUAGAGGGGGCCUUAUUCUGCUUGGAAAGUCCUCUAAGCUCAAGGAUCUUUGCAGGAAACAGGAUCACCCCUCCAUUUGUUUGCUGACCACCACCUCCUUUUACUCUGACUUAGUCAUUUUACAGUGUCAGCACCAGCCUGUGGAUCUGUCUGACAGCGGAUGUAUUGUCACAGUGCAGUCUGAGAUCCAGCCUUCAGCUUUUGUAAGAAUCCAGUUAGCCACUGCACAAAACAUCUUGUUAAAAUCGCAAUUCUAAGGCCUCUUCUUGGCUUUAUUGUUCCUUUCUGUUCUUUAAAUUUGUAAAUGAUUUUUAACUUUAUGAGCAUAGAAGGCAUUAAAAUUCGACUAUACCGGAACAAAAAUUUAUAAUUCCAGCAUGAAUGCAACGAUCAAAACGUUAAUCCAGGACGUGCACAGAUAGACUGGACCAGCGCUGGGUGACGGUGCUCAAUCUUUCUGCUGCAAUGGAAUGGAGUGCACUGACGCUCUGCACAAAUAUCUGCACAGGGCAGUGUUAUAGAUAACCACUCACUGCUCCCUGAGGGGCUUGAGAUCAUUCGAUGUCUAAGAACUACUACUGGCUUGUAAAUGUCAAGAGAAAUUAUGAACAUUUGUAGAAAAGUAACUGUUUGACUAAUUUCCUGUUCCAUGGAGCAAACACACUGCCCCAUGUAUUUAGAAUCUGGUGCUGACAGCCAGGCCAUGGCAAGCUUCAAGGUUAUAGGAUCAUAAAUGGGAUUAGAUAAGCCAGACAGUGCGGCUCAGACUCCAGCACUUUAAAAAUAUUAUUAAAACCCCAGGAAAGGCAAACAAUUUUGAAGGGAAAGUAAGAUAUAACAGACUCCCACCAAGAGAGAAAAGAAUCUUGGAUAUGAUACUGGAACUUGGUAACCCCUUCCCCCACCCACCCCCCGCUGCCCCCGCCAGAGCACUUCCAGAGUGUAUGUUAGUUAGCAUCAAUCAACAUUUUAGGACAUAAGACAUAAUGCAACAAGUCAUGCUUUGUAGCUCAGACAGAUUUUUCUAUUUGAUUUGAUCCAUGACGAAAAAAAAAAAUUUUAAGGAAAGAACAAAGAAAACUUACUGAGAAAACCAAAAUCGACAAUAAGAAGUCGCAGUUCCAGAGAGCAGAAUGCAGUGCCCCACCUGGAAGCCUUUGUGUUUUAAAUUAUCUGUUUCUUUUUAAUUGACCAGAUUAAUUAUUUCCACCUUGCUACUUGGCAGGUAGGGUCACUAUUCCUUUUUACAGCAUUAAUGAACUCAUUCACUUUUUUUUCCAUGUAAUUAAGACUAUGAGUUGCAGAUCACAUUCUUAAAUCGGCUUAGUGUACAGCCAAUUCAGUCUUUAUUAAACAAAAUAUAUGACAUCAGGUAUUUCUCACUGAAAAAGAGUGUUGAGUUUCUACUGAGUUUUCCUCCAGUUGAGAGAGGAGAGUGGUGACUUUGUUCUUUUUAUUUUUUGGAGAAGAAACACAGACCUUGUAAAGGUUGUAGCCUCCAGGGUGGUGUUUCAUUCUUAAUAGACUCAAAGUCUGGAGAUUUAAAGGGCAGCUGAUGGAUUCAUGUUCAGGUAUUUCUAUUGCCACCAAAAUUCUGACCAGGUCCUUUCAUGAGCUAUUUGAAAAGAAAUAACUUUGGGUAUGCUGUUAAGUUAGUUAUGUGAAAUAUAUUGCCCUCUUCUGUUAGCUUUAUUUCUAGGCCAUUUAGGAAGCCCUAGGAAUAUUAAGAGUUUCUCAGUACAUUGACUACAGUAGCCGAACACAGUACAGAAGGCCGUUUGCGGUGUCUACAGUCCUCCAGAGAGCAAACUUUAAGGCAAUGCAAACUAUCUCCCAAAGCAUUUGGUUUCAUUCAAGACUUCUGGAUCUCAAGUUGAUUCCCAGAGGAACUCAAUUUGGAAGUAAAGGGUAAGGUGCUUUAAUCUUUCCAGGACCCAAAUGAGAUUUCCUCCAUUAAAUUGAGUCUGGUGGAGCACCUGAUCGAGAGAGAAACUGAUGGGCAGACAUCAAGAAAUUGAUGAACAGACAUCUUAAUGCUGGUCCUCUUUGCCACUAGCAAAAGACAAGCAACAUACAUUUAAAAUAUUAGGAAUACCAGUGCAUUGUUUUUACAUAUUAAAAGCUUGUGAGAAAUUCA
Homo sapiens (human) is the source of this 2170-nucleotide long non-coding RNA. RefSeq lists it as uncharacterized. The transcript has 3 exons. NCBI's taxonomy places the organism in Eukaryota, Metazoa, Chordata, Mammalia, Primates, Hominidae. The record is from RefSeq and is a predicted model, not a curated record.